ACGCACGCUGGCGGCAUGCCUAACACCUGCAAGUCGAACGAGACCUUCGGGUCUAGUGGCGCACGGGUGCGUAACGCGUGGGAACCUGCCCUUAGGUUCGGAAUAACUCCCCGAAAGGGGUGCUAAUACCGGAUAAUGUCUUCGGACCAAAGAUUUAUCGCCUUUGGAUGGGCCCGCGUUGGAUUAGCUAGUUGGUAGGGUAAAAGCCUACCAAGGCGACGAUCCAUAGCUGGUCUGAGAGGAUGAUCAGCCACACUGGGACUGAGACACGGCCCAGACUCCUACGGGAGGCAGCAGUGGGGAAUAUUGGACAAUGGGCGAAAGCCUGAUCCAGCAAGGCCGCGUAAGUGAUGAAGGCCUUAGGGUUGUAAAGCUCUUUUACCCGGGAUGAUAAUGACAGGACCGGGAGAAUAAGCUCCGGCUAACUCCGU
Molecule: ribosomal RNA, 431 nt
Filed under: uncultured bacterium
Lineage: Bacteria
Description: partial 16S ribosomal RNA
Rfam family: Bacterial small subunit ribosomal RNA
Source: RNAcentral